GGGGAAUAUUGCACAAUGGGGGAAACCCUGAUGCAGCAACGCCGCGUGAGUGAAGAAGGUCUUCGGAUCGUAAAGCUCUGUUGUACGGGACGAAGCAAGUGACGGUACCUGUUGAAUAAGCCACGGCUAACUACGUGCCAGCAGCCGCGGUAAUACGUAGGUGGCAAGCGUUAUCCGGAUUUACUGGGUGUAAAGGGCGUGUAGGCGGGACUGCAAGUCAGAUGUGAAAACUAUGGGCUCAACCCAUAGCCUGCAUUUGAAACUGUAGUUCUUGAGUGUCGGAGAGGCAAUCGGAAUUCCGUGUGUAGCGGUGAAAUGCGUAGAUAUACGGAGGAACACCAGUGGCGAAGGCGGAUUGCUGGACGAUAACUGACGCUGAGGCGCGAAAGCGUGGGGAGCAAACA
Molecule: ribosomal RNA, 404 nt
Filed under: uncultured Oscillospiraceae bacterium
Lineage: Bacteria; Bacillati; Bacillota; Clostridia; Eubacteriales; Oscillospiraceae
Description: bacterial SSU rRNA
Rfam family: Bacterial small subunit ribosomal RNA
Source: RNAcentral